Molecule: non-coding RNA, 82 nt
Organism: Halobacterium sp. DL1
Lineage: Archaea; Methanobacteriati; Methanobacteriota; Halobacteria; Halobacteriales; Halobacteriaceae
Source: Rfam
GGUGAGGUGGCAGAGCGGCCUAAUGCGCCGGUCUUGAAAACCGGUGGCGUCAGCCUCAUGGGUUCGAAUCCCAUCCUCACCG